GAGUUUGAUCUUGGCUCAGAUUGAACGCUGGCGGCAUGCCUUACACAUGCAAGUCGAACGGCAGCACGGGAGCUUGCUCCUGGUGGCGAGUGGCGAACGGGUGAGUAAUGCAUCGGAACGUAUCCUGGAGUGGGGGAUAACGUAGCGAAAGUUACGCUAAUACCGCAUAUUCUGUGAGCAGGAAAGCGGGGGACCUUCGGGCCUCGCGCUCUUGGAGCGGCUGAUGUCGGAUUAGCUAGUUGGUGAGGUAAAGGCUCACCAAGGCGACGAUCCGUGGCAGGUCUGAGAGGAUGAUCUGCCACACUGGAACUGAGACACGGUCCAGACUCCUACGGGAGGCAGCAGUGGGGAAUUUUGGACAAUGGGGGCAACCCUGAUCCAGCCAUGCCGCGUGAGUGAAGAAGGCCUCGGUGUAAG
This 417-nucleotide ribosomal RNA is filed under the name bacterium enrichment culture clone ALO1_GLFRUDD03FM2F6. RNAcentral describes it as "bacterial SSU rRNA". It matches the Rfam family "Bacterial small subunit ribosomal RNA", at positions 9 to 429 of the family's 1533-position model. The record is from RNAcentral.